UAAAUGACAGGGUGACUGAAGGAGACAAAGAAAGGAAGCAAACGGUCAACCCGGUUGGUACCUCCCUCUCUAAUUUCUCUGAUUCCUUACUCGUUACUCUCGGAAAUACACAGACAGCACAGCAGGAGAAUCCCUCUUCCUCUGUGUCUCCCAGUGUAUCUUAUACACACAGAGAUAUAUCUGCUUGGUGGGCAACCAUCAAGAAGACAUCGUCAAGUCACAUUCUUGCAUCUGUUUCUUGUGGGGUGAUUAAACUCCAACAGCUUAGAGAAACGGAGAGAGAUGAGGCCAAAUUGGGAGUUAAGGAAUUGCUGUAACCAUGAGCAAGUAGUCUUUCUUGUCACUGUUUCUGUGUGCGCCGUUGUUAUUCUUGCGUUAUGGAGAACAGUGUUGCUGAGACCAUUCAAGCUUGUGACAGUAUUCCUUCAUGAAGCAAGCCAUGCCAUUGCCUGUAAACUAACAUGUGGCCAUGUUGAAGGAAUUCAGGUUCAUGCAGAUGAAGGUGGAACCACUCAAACACGUGGUGGCAUAUACUGGUUAAUCUUGCCUGCUGGAUAUCUCGGUUCAUCCUUCUGGGGGAUGGUUUUGAUACUUGCAUCCACAAAUCUUCUUACUGCCAGAAUAGCUGCAGGAUGUUUUAUUGCUUCUCUACUUGUUGUGCUCUUGGUAGCUAAAAAUUGGACUCUUCGAGGACUUUGCAUUGGAUUUGUUCUUUUCCUUGGGGUGGUUUGGGUCCUGCAAGAAACAACAAAAGUUCAUAUACUUCGGUACAUCAUUCUUUUCAUUGGUGUCAUGAACAGCCUGUUUUCAGUUUAUGACAUAUAUGAUGAUCUGAUAUCUCGUAGAGAUCAUUCUAGUGAUGCAGAGAAAUUUGCCGAAGCAUGUCCAUGUCCAUGUAACGGUGCCGGAUGGGGAUUCAUAUGGGGGGUGAUAUCUUUCUUGUUUCUUUGUGGAGCCAUGUACCUUGGUCUUGUGAUAUUGUCUUGAGAUCUGAGAGGCUGCCUUCUAGUUGACAUACUUGCAGAUCUGAGAGAGGCUUUUCGCAAAUGAGAGGUUGAAGGUGGGGCAGUGGAAGGCGUCAAGCACCUGGACAUUUACAGAAGAAAUGCGUGCUAUGAUUUUUAUCACUUCAUCCCACGAGCCCUACAUUUAACAAAAAAUUACAUUUGCUUGUAGCAAAACAGCUGUAAAUUACUGUAUUUUCUAGAAAACUGGAAAAUUUUCUAAACAUAACUUAAAUAGACCAGCCAAAACAAGUUUUGGCGAAAAACAUUUAAAAGUCGACAACACGUUGCCUUCCUAGGCCUCAGUUACAGGAUAAUCGAACGCAACAUCCUAGCCAGAAAGCUUCCGGUAAACUGCAGAAAAGGUCUCCAACUCGUACUCUGUGCUGUUGUGUUCCUUUGGAUCCAAGAAAACCUGCGUGUAAUUAUGAUGCAGUUAGCAUGAGCCUGGAGUAAUCAGGCAAGUAUAUUUUUGCUA
This is an RNA transcript of Populus nigra (black poplar), 1482 nucleotides long. RefSeq lists it as uncharacterized. The transcript is spliced from 11 exons. NCBI's taxonomy places the organism in Eukaryota, Viridiplantae, Streptophyta, Magnoliopsida, Malpighiales, Salicaceae. The record is from RefSeq and is a predicted model, not a curated record.